This 460-nucleotide ribosomal RNA is filed under the name uncultured bacterium. RNAcentral's name for it is "partial 16S ribosomal RNA". It matches the Rfam family "Bacterial small subunit ribosomal RNA", at positions 338 to 795 of the family's 1533-position model. The record is from RNAcentral.
CCUACGGGAGGCAGCAGUGAGGAAUAUUGGUCAAUGGGCGGGAGCCUGAACCAGCCAAGUCGCGUGAGGGAAGACGGUCCUAUGGAUUGUAAACCUCUUUAGGCGGGGAGCAAUGCCGGGCACGCGUGCCCGGAGGGAGAGUACCCGCAGAAUAAGCAUCGGCUAACUCCGUGCCAGCCGCCGCGGUAAUACGGAGGAUGCGAGCGUUAUCCGGAUUUAUUGGGUUUAAGGGGUGCGUAGGCGGAUUUUUAAGUCAGCGGUAAAAUGUCGGGGCUCAACCGGGACCGGCCGUUGAAACUGGGGAACUGGAGUGGGCGAGAGGAAUGCGGAAUGCGUGGUGUAGCGGUGAAAUGCAUAGAUAUCACGCAGAACUCCGAUGGCGAAGGCAGCAAACCGGCGCCCGACUGACGCUGAGGAACGAAAGCGUGGGGAGCGAACAGGAUUAGAUACCCGAGUAGUC